Neopelma chrysocephalum (saffron-crested tyrant-manakin) is the source of this 1620-nucleotide long non-coding RNA. RefSeq lists it as uncharacterized. NCBI's taxonomy places the organism in Eukaryota, Metazoa, Chordata, Aves, Passeriformes, Pipridae. The record is from RefSeq and is a predicted model, not a curated record. The transcript has 2 exons.
UGCAACCCCCUUCCUAGUCACUGAGCCAUGAAUUUCAGGGCAGAGAGAAGCAAAAAACAGAUCUGGGUAGAACGGAAAUAGCAGCUUUAUUUGAGAAAAUCUCACAAGUUACAAACAGCAGAAAUGAACAGUGUCAGUUCCAUUAAUACCACUACUCCCUUUACUAUGGCUGGACAGCAACAGGGCUCUACAAACAGUGAGGAGCAAAAUUAUUGUCUUAAUGAGCAUCAGUUGAUAUUACUUUCCAAACUCCUUAUUUAUCACUAGGCAGAAUUUUCCAAAUAUUCUGAUUAAGAUGCCCUUGGCUGUCAACAAAGCUUGAUGCCAAGCUGCAGAUGUUUCCUUGAUGGUGUUCUUUUUUUCCAUCCACUCGAGCCCUUUGGUUUAGCUGUCCUGAAAAAUUCCCCAUUAGAUUAAAAUGCACUGACUCAUCAGUAAAAGAUAAUAGCUGCAGGAAAGAAAUACACUGUCAAAUUGUCGUGGUCUUAUCUUAGGGCUCUGAAUGGUCUGAGAUGUGCCAGGAUAAAACCACUGCUCCCAGCUUCAGCUGCCUGCUGGAUCAAGGUCAAAUACAGCAAGGCAGGUGAUGGAGUGAUCUGCUUUUGUGUUUUGUCCAACAAUGAAUUACUGAUAGCACAUGGCAGGUUUCAUGAGGAUUUAUUUUGUUUGUUUCAACUGGAUUAAUUUUAGAUUAAUUAGUCAAUUUUCCUACCUCUUCAGUCACCCCUGUAGCCCCAUGGCUAGAAAUACAGACAGAAAACUUCCCUACCUCUUACUACACUGGUUUUUUUCUCUCUUAAACCCUGAGCUGAAGCCCAUAUAUCUCCUGCAGUGCUGCCUUGCUCCAUGAUGACAUGUUCAUUAAGUCAUCUGACGAGUUUGACCCCAGGACCAUGAUCACAGGGCUUGCUGUGGCUGUGGCACCAAACCUUCUCCAUGGAACUCAGGGUGGCUGACGCGUUGUUCCUCCCUUUAAUGUUCUACGACCAACAGUUCAACAAUCAACUGCCACGUUUAAACCUGGAGCCGCAACAGUUGCGGUUGUGCAACGCCACAUCUACGAUUGUUUCCAGGGCUGGACUGUUGGAGCCGAUCUUUGCAAUACCCACCCUCUUCUCAGGUUUCAUGAACUCAAAAACUCCGAGCAAACCUUCUACCUGCAGUUACUUUAGCUCUAUGAAUUUCAGAAGAAUUUCGGGAGAAUUUAAUUCCCAAUGAUCUGUGUGACAGCAUCUUUGUAGCCACAAAACCAGUCGGUUUUGCUCUGAAACUGCAGUGUCAAACACGGAGACCGUUGCUUAUCGAGUGUUUUAUCUUGCUGAUAACCAAGAAGCAAUGAAACAUUGUGCAAAGAGGGGGGGAAAAAGCCCAAAGGACCUUAAGUCUAAGGGUGAGACAAAGGACCGGCUGGAUUAUGGACUAGAGGGAGUUGCACUCUGUGGGGAAACCCGUUCGCGCAGGACAGGGCAGGCACGGGGAAGCAGAAGCACUAAUUCCAGUUUGCCCAAGUUUUCUCCCAUCCUUUCCCCCCUCGCACCGGGCAGCACGAAGGACGGUCAUGGCCAAAGCAAUGGAUACGGAGCUUACCUGUGCACUUCCUUUUAAAGGUUUCAUAGUCUA